GGGCGGGUAGCUCAAUCGGGAGAGCGUCGGCCUUACAAGCCGGAGGUAACAGGUUCGAUACCUGUUACGCCUA
RNAcentral lists this transfer RNA (73 nucleotides) under Deltaproteobacteria bacterium. Its description in RNAcentral is "tRNA-Val". It matches the Rfam family "tRNA". From Rfam's summary of the family: Transfer RNA (tRNA) molecules are approximately 80 nucleotides in length. The record is from RNAcentral. Lineage: Bacteria; Pseudomonadati; Myxococcota; Myxococcia.